This 517-nucleotide ribosomal RNA is filed under the name uncultured archaeon. Its description in RNAcentral is "bacterial SSU rRNA". It matches the Rfam family "Archaeal small subunit ribosomal RNA", at positions 93 to 593 of the family's 1478-position model. The record is from RNAcentral.
GUAACACCUAGUCAACCUGCCCUGGAGACAUGGAAAACCCCGGGAAACUGGGAUUAAUCCGUGAUAGGUCACCUCAUCUGGAAGGAGAGAUGGCUUAAAGGGGUGCGAGAGCUUCUUUCUUGCAUUCGCUCCAGGAUGGGACUGCGGCCGAUCAGGCUGUUGGCGGUGUAAUGGACCACCAAACCUGUAACCGGUACGGGCCUUGAGAGAGGGGGCCCGGAGAUGGACACUGAGAGAAGGGUCCAGGUCCUACGGGGCGCAGCAGGCGCGAAACCUUCGCAAUGCGCGAAAGCGUGACGAGGUUAAUCCGAGUGGUCCCCGCUGAGGGGAUCUUUUGUUGGCUGUAAAAAGGCCGAUGAAUAAGGGGAGGGCAAGUCUGGUGUCAGCCGCCGCGGUAAUACCAGCUCCUCGAGUGGUCGGGGCGAUUAUUGGGCCUAAAGCAUCCGUAGCCGGUUCUGUAGGUCCUCUGUCAAAUCCAACGGCUUAACCGUUGGCCCGCAGAGGAUACCGCAGGACU